This 430-nucleotide ribosomal RNA is filed under the name Stictolampra sp. ZW-2018. RNAcentral describes it as "partial 16S ribosomal RNA". Lineage: Eukaryota; Metazoa; Arthropoda; Insecta; Blattodea; Blaberidae. The record is from RNAcentral.
CUCUUCUUGAUUAAUUAGGAAGUAUAACCUGCCCAAUGAUAAUUUUAAUGGCCGCAGUAUACUGACUGUGCAAAGGUAGCAUAAUCAUUAGUCUUUUGAUUGGGGGCUGGAAUGAAUGGUUGGACGAGAUAAUAACUAUCUUAAUUUAAUUUAUUUUGAAUUUAAUUAUUAAGUAAGAAAGCUUAAAUAAUUUUUUGGGACGAGAAGACCCUAUAGAGUUUAAUAUUUUUUUUUAUUUUACUGUAUUUGUUAAAAAAAGAUUUUGAAAAAUAUUUUGUUGGGGUGAUGUAGAGAUAUUUAAAACUCUUUUUAUAAACUAUUUAUAUAUUUAUAUAUAAUUGAUCCACAAUUGGUGAUUAUAAGACUAAAUUACCUUAGGGAUAACAGCGUAAUUUUAUUUGAGAGUUCAUAUCGACAAUAAAGAUUGCGA